Long non-coding RNA from Hyaena hyaena (striped hyena), 378 nucleotides. RefSeq lists it as uncharacterized. The transcript is spliced from 4 exons. The record is from RefSeq and is a predicted model, not a curated record. NCBI's taxonomy places the organism in Eukaryota, Metazoa, Chordata, Mammalia, Carnivora, Hyaenidae.
UUGUUUCUAGGCAAGGUUGAUCUCCCCUGAAGGAAAAGACACCUUCAUGUUGGAAGGACACAGGUUUUCAAAGAAGGAACCAAAACCUGAAAGCCUUUUAUGAGGUAUGAAGACGUCCAGGGGAUUCUAAUCGAUGCCAUUUUCUACGCAAAGCAGUCCUUGGCCAUCCUGCCUUCUUUGUGCUUCUAUGAUACAAGCUUAAGUAUGUGUUACUGAAGUGGCCAACAAGUAUGCGAGGUCUUCCAGGAUAUAAUCAUCUCUGCCUUCCUGGGACCUAGUCCAGCGCCUGACAUAUAAAAGGAAUUAGAUGAACAAUGCAGCAAUAUAACCUGUUUGGGCCAAUGAGUUACAAAAUAAAGUGACAUGUGCCAUUUCUAG